CUUAACACAUGCAAGUCGAGGGGCAGCAUUUCAGUUUGCUUGCAAACUGGAGAUGGCGACCGGCGCACGGGUGAGUAACACGUAUCCAACCUGCCGAUAACUCGGGGAUAGCCUUUCGAAAGAAAGAUUAAUACCCGAUGGUAUAAUAUAACCGCAUGGUUUUAUUAUUAAAGAAUUUCGGUUAUCGAUGGGGAUGCGUUCCAUUAGGCAGUUGGUGAGGUAACGGCUCACCAAACCUUCGAUGGAUAGGGGUUCUGAGAGGAAGGUCCCCCACAUUGGAACUGAGACACGGUCCAAACUCCUACGGGAGGCAGCAGUGAGGAAUAUUGGUCAAUGGGCGCAGGCCUGAACCAGCCAAGUAGCGUGAAGGAUGACUGCCCUAUGGGUUGUAAACUUCUUUUAUAUGGGAAUAAAGUUUUCCACGUGUGGAAUUUUGUAUGUACCAUAUGAAUAAGGAUCGGCUAACUCCGUGCCAGCAGCCGCGGUAAUACGGAGGAUCCGAGCGUUAUCCGGAUUUAUUGGGUUUAAAGGGAGCGUAGGUGGACAGUUAAGUCAGUUGUAAAAGUUUGCGGCUCAACCGUAAAAUUGCAGUUGAUACUGGCUGUCUUGAGUACAGUAGAGGUGGGCGGAAUUCGUGGUGUAGCGGUGAAAUGCUUAGAUAUCACGAAGAACUCCGAUUGCGAAGGCAGCUCACUGGACUGCAACUGACACUGAUGCUCGAAAGUGUGGGUAUCAAACAGGAUUAGAUACCCUGGUAGUCCACACAGUAAACGAUGAAUACUCGCUGUUUGCGAUAUACAGUAAGCGGCCAAGCGAAAGCAUUAAGUAUUCCACCUGGGGAGUACGCCGGCAACGGUGAAACUCAAAGGAAUUGACGGGGGCCCGCACAAGCGGAGGAACAUGUGGUUUAAUUCGAUGAUACGCGAGGAACCUUACCCGGGCUUAAAUUGCAUUUGAAUAUAUUGGAAACAGUAUAGCCGUAAGGCAAAUGUGAAGGUGCUGCAUGGUUGUCGUCAGCUCGUGCCGUGAGGUGUCGGCUUAAGUGCCAUAACGAGCGCAACCCUUAUCUUUAGUUACUAACAGGUCAUGCUGAGGACUCUAGAGAGACUGCCGUCGUAAGAUGUGAGGAAGGUGGGGAUGACGUCAAAUCAGCACGGCCCUUACGUCCGGGGCUACACACGUGUUACAAUGGGGGGUACAGAAGGCAGCUAGCGGGUGACCGUAUGCUAAUCCCAAAAGCCUCUCUCAGUUCGGAUCGAAGUCUGCAACCCGACUUCGUGAAGCUGGAUUCGCUAGUAAUCGCGCAUCAGCCACGGCGCGGUGAAUACGUUCCCGGGCCUUGUACACACCGCCCGUCAAGCCAUGGGAGCCGGGGGUACCUGAAGUACGUAACCGCAAGGAUCGUCCUAGGGUAAAACUGGUGACUGGGGCUAAGUCAUAA
RNAcentral lists this ribosomal RNA (1441 nucleotides) under uncultured organism. RNAcentral's name for it is "SSU rRNA". It matches the Rfam family "Bacterial small subunit ribosomal RNA". The record is from RNAcentral.